AUAAACGCUGGCGGCGUGCAUGAGACAUGCACGUCGCACGCAGGAUCGGGCUUGCUCGAUCCUUAGUGGCGGACGGCUGAGUAACGCGUAGGUGACCUACCCCGAAGUGGGGAAUAACUGCCCGAAAGGGUGGCUAAUACCGCAUGUGGUCGCACGUUCAUUCGUGCGAGUAAAGCCGCAAGGCGCUUCGGGAGGGGCCUGCGUCCGAUUAGCUCGUUGGUGGGGUAAUGGCUUACCAAGGCGACGAUCGGUAGGUGGUCUGAGAGGACGAUCACCCAGACUGGGACUGAGACACGGCCCAGACUCCUACGGGAGGCAGCAGUCGGGAAUUUUGCUCAAUGGGGGAAACCCUGAAGCAGCAACGCCGCGUGAGGGAUGAAGGCCUUCGGGUUGUAAACCUCUUUUGUCAGGGACGAUGAUGACGGUACCUGGCGAAUAAGCCACGGCUAACUACGUG
This 457-nucleotide ribosomal RNA is filed under the name uncultured bacterium. RNAcentral describes it as "partial 16S ribosomal RNA". It matches the Rfam family "Bacterial small subunit ribosomal RNA", at positions 29 to 507 of the family's 1533-position model. The record is from RNAcentral.